Molecule: long non-coding RNA, 128 nt
Organism: Pipistrellus kuhlii (Kuhl's pipistrelle)
Lineage: Eukaryota; Metazoa; Chordata; Mammalia; Chiroptera; Vespertilionidae
Exons: 3
Source: RefSeq, a predicted model, not a curated record
GGCAGUGUGGUCUCAGUCAGAGGCUCACAAAGUCUCUUGUUCUCAAUGUGCAGCUCUGCUUAGAGCUUCCUGAAGCCUCCCUAGGGCUCUUCUGAUUCAGGCUGGGGUUCUGGGUGGAGGUCCCGGUG